This 454-nucleotide ribosomal RNA is filed under the name Entrophospora claroidea. Its description in RNAcentral is "partial large subunit ribosomal RNA". It matches the Rfam family "Eukaryotic large subunit ribosomal RNA", at positions 358 to 668 of the family's 3401-position model. The record is from RNAcentral. Lineage: Eukaryota; Fungi; Glomeromycota; Glomeromycetes; Entrophosporales; Entrophosporaceae.
GGAAAGAUGAAAAGAACUUUGAAAAGAGAGUUAAACAGUUCGUGAAAUUGUUGAAAGGGAAACGAUUGAAGUCAGUCGUGCUGGCGCGAAAUCAACCCUCUCGUCGAGAGGACACAUGGCGUGGCGAGCCUCAAAACCGUCACGAAGCGUGAACUCUUGGCGAAAAGGAGCACUUUCGUGUCCGCUGGUUAACAUCAAUUUCGAACGUCAUAAAAAGGCUGGAGGGAUGUGGCUCCUUCGGGAGUGUUAUAACCUUUAGCGGAAUGUGGUGGUCGGGAUUGAGGAUUGCAACGAAUACCUUUAGGGCUGUUCCACCUGGCUUCUCUUUGGUAUCCUGGUGACGACAGCUUGCUGACGUUGUUAGGAUUCGCCUUUGAACAGGCUAGAGUGUGAGCAAAUUCGUUAAGGAUGUUAACGUAAUGGCUUUAAACGACCCGUCUUGAAACACGGACCA